This 819-nucleotide ribosomal RNA is filed under the name Triticum aestivum (bread wheat). RNAcentral describes it as "partial small subunit ribosomal RNA". The record is from RNAcentral. Lineage: Eukaryota; Viridiplantae; Streptophyta; Magnoliopsida; Poales; Poaceae.
AUGUCCGGAUCUCAGCGUAGUGGGGUACGUACUCCCUUUCAGGACCUGACGAACAACGACAGUUCAGGUCAAAAAACAGAUCCAAAAGAACUAAAGAGACAGAGGGAAAGGGAGAGGUAUGCACUAAACAGGGAUGCAAUAUUGAAAAAAAGAAAGGAGGCAAGGGAUCGUAAGAAAGCUAUGUCCGCUAUUUUAAAUGGAACCAACACUCCAUCUAAGCCACCCGUGGCCAUGUCGCCUGGUUUUGACACUGUGGGGAUGCCCAGUGCGCAGUCUGCUAUCACCCAGCAACGACACACACCAGUUGUGGAAGGCAUACCUGUUGAUGUGGUAAUGAGUGAUCAGACUCCACUUCAUGGUCCAUGUUCACUAACAACACCAGAUACUGUCGUCUCUAACAAGGAAAAUGUUAAUAAUAUGAACUCUGACAUUGAGUCCUCCCAACUGACUGUGUUACGACCGCCACUUCAAGCCUACAGAUGCAGCAGUUCAUAUGAAGAAAAACAAGCACUGAAGAGGCAGAGGGAAAAUUCCCGGUAUGAGCAACAUAAAGAAGAGAUAUUGCAAAGCCUACGUGACAAACGUCGUGCAGCCAAAUCUACAGUAGUGCUUACACCCGGAGAACAAAACCAAUCUGAUACAGCUGAUGAAGAUUGUGAUUGGCUACACACAAAUGAUAUGUACCUGAGACAAACCAUUGGAAGGAGGAUGAGGCGAGACAACAUAGUCACUGCGUCGUCACGCAACGACCACGACGAUGAUGCAUGUGGAAUCCUGGAGCCCGAUGGCAACACAACAAAUAUGGAUGGUACACAUUAA